GGCUAUUGUGCUGGGGGAGCCCAGCAGGGGUGUGAGACAGGCUGGAGUCAGCAAAGGGGUGUGUGUGUACAUGUGUGAGGCGCUGGGCAGAAGACCCCGUGGUGAGGGGGUCAGAGAGCAGCUGGCUGGCUGACUGACUGACUCCUGGGUGUGGAGGGAAGUGCCCAGCUAGAGAGCUGUGCUGUCCUCAGCCUUGCAAGCAGCCUGCAGCUGUGGUGGCUUCCCCAUGUGUCAUCCAAGGCUUUUCACCCUGAAAGCUGCUUGGAGAGGGAGCAGAGGUCGAUAGCAGAGAGAAGGGGCUCUAGCACUUGUGCUUUGCAAAGAAGUUUCGCGGCUGUGUUGCUUCACAACCUAGCCAUAUGCAAGAUUAGGAAGCCAUAAGCCUGUCCUGCCCCUAGAAACUGCAUCUUCCUGCUCCGGAGUGUCCUAAUUGGCAUGAGCUGCCCCUCGGGAAGCCUGGGACCAGCUGAACGCCAGUGCCUCUGAAGGGGACGUAGAGCCAGACAGGUGGGGUGAGGCAACUUAGGUGUGAGACCCAAGAGGAGCUCUGGGCAGUGUGUCAGAUGCAGUUCCUCAGUCAGGAGGCCCAGCAGAGCCCUAAGUGGCGUCCUGCUCCAUCUCAGUGACUCCCUUUCCUCCCCGCCUCCCCAGCUGGGGAGGGCAGUAGAAAGUUCUGGGGACUCCAUCUCACUCAUGCACAACUGGUUCUUCAGCUCAGCUCUGUGAUGCCCUCUUUUCCUUACUGCGGCGCCUCAGGGCAACCUCUGUCCCUCUCUGAGCUCCCCUUAGCCAGCUUGCUCCUGACCCACUCAAGCCUCCCCAGUGGAGACAGGAGCCAGCGAGGAUCUGAGAGGCAUUUGCUUUGUGACCCCUGCUGCAG
This 880-nucleotide long non-coding RNA is filed under the name Homo sapiens (human). RNAcentral describes it as "HSALNT0243600". The record is from RNAcentral. Lineage: Eukaryota; Metazoa; Chordata; Mammalia; Primates; Hominidae.